RNAcentral lists this small nuclear RNA (107 nucleotides) under Dasypus novemcinctus (nine-banded armadillo). Lineage: Eukaryota; Metazoa; Chordata; Mammalia; Cingulata; Dasypodidae. The record is from RNAcentral.
GUGCUCACUUCGGCAGCACAUAUACUAAAAUUGAAACGAUACAGAGAAGAUUAGCAUGAUCCCUGUGCAAGGAUGGCACACAAAUUCAUGAAGUGUUCCAUAUUUUU